AUUCAUUUAAAUAACUUGUGUUAGCUAGGGUUGUUGAUAGUCUCAAAAUUGUUGAGACAUCAUCAAUAAGCUAAUGGAUCUCAAUGAUUGUCAAUGGAUCCAAGACAAGUUAGUGGGAGCAAUAUGCAUUCAAAUCAAGAAAAUAUAUAAGUGUUAUUUUUUGAAUGAAUGCUAAGUUACAACAAGGCCAGUGGGAGUGAUGUCAUAAUUUUGAGCAACAAGAUGUGAAUAAAGUCUAUUUGAUAGACUUGAUAAAACAUAGAUGUGUUACUCGAAAAAUGACAAAACAUGACACGGUCAAUUUUGAAGUAUAGACUUGAAAUUGGACUUAUUGAUAUAGCAAGGCUAUCUCAAUAAUGUUAUAUGGGAAUUAAAUCUCAAAUGUUGAAGAUUUAAGAAAGCAUUUUCCUAUGUGAUAGAAAUCACUUUCAUAACCCUUAUAAUGAAUGUGUCAUAAAAUCACAAAAAGGGACA
Molecule: long non-coding RNA, 474 nt
Filed under: Malus domestica (apple)
Lineage: Eukaryota; Viridiplantae; Streptophyta; Magnoliopsida; Rosales; Rosaceae
Description: long non-coding RNA (MDOM_LNC002943)
Source: RNAcentral